GUAGAUUAGAGAUCCCCUGGGAAG
This 24-nucleotide non-coding RNA is filed under the name Cricetulus griseus (Chinese hamster). Lineage: Eukaryota; Metazoa; Chordata; Mammalia; Rodentia; Cricetidae. The record is from RNAcentral.